GAGCGUAAACUCCUUUUCUUAGGGAAGAAUUCUGACGGUACCUAAGGAAUAAGCACCGGCUAACUCCGUGCCAGCAGCCGCGGUAAUACGGAGGGUGCAAGCGUUACUCGGAAUCACUGGGCGUAAAGGGCGCGUAGGCGGAUUAUCAAGUCUCUUGUGAAAUCUAAUGGCUUAACCAUUAAACUGCUUGGGAAACUGAUAGUCUAGAGUGAGGGAGAGGCAGAUGGAAUUGGUGGUGUAGGGGUAAAAUCCGUAGAUAUCACCAAGAAUACCCAUUGCGAAGGCGAUCUGCUGGAACUCAACUGACGCUAAGGCGCGAAAGCGUGGGGAGCAAACAGGAUUAGAUACCCUGGUAGUCCACGCCCUAAACGAUGUACACUAGUUGUUGGGGUGCUAGUCAUCUCAGUAAUGCAGCUAACGCAUUAAGUGUACCGCCUGGGGAGUACGGUCGCAAGAUUAAAACUCAAAGGAAUAGACGGGGACCCGCACAAGCGGUGGAGCAUGUGGUUUAAUUCGAAGAUACGCGAAGAACCUUACCUGGGCUUGAUAUCCUAAGAACCUUUUAGAGAUAAGAGGGUGCUAGCUUGCUAGAACUUAGAGACAGGUGCUGCACGGCUGUCGUCAGCUCGUGUCGUGAGAUGUUGGGUUAAGUCCCGCAACGAGCGCAACCCACGUAUUUAGUUGCUAACGGUUCGGCCGAGCACUCUAAAUAGACUGCCUUCGUAAGGAGGAGGAAGGUGUGGACGACGUCAAGUCAUCAUGGCCCUUAUGCCCAGGGCGACACACGUGCUACAAUGGCAUAUACAAUGAGACGCAAUACCGCGAGGUGGAGCAAAUCUAUAAAAUAUGUCCCAGUUCGGAUUGUUCUCUGCAACUCGAGAGCAUGAAGCCGGAAUCGCUAGUAAUCGUAGAUCAGCCAUGCUACGGUGAAUACGUUCCCGGGUCUUGUACUCACCGCCCGUCACACCAUGGGAGUUGAUUUCACUCGAAGCCGGAAUACUAAACUAGUUACCGUCCACAGUGGAAUCAGCGACUGGGGUGAAGUCGUAACAAGGUAACCGUAGGAGAACCUGCGGUUGGAUCACCUCCUUUCUA
This 1095-nucleotide ribosomal RNA is filed under the name Campylobacter coli. RNAcentral's name for it is "bacterial SSU rRNA". It matches the Rfam family "Bacterial small subunit ribosomal RNA", at positions 421 to 1533 of the family's 1533-position model. Lineage: Bacteria; Pseudomonadati; Campylobacterota; Epsilonproteobacteria; Campylobacterales; Campylobacteraceae. The record is from RNAcentral.